UGUCUGUGAUGAGGAAUUUGGUAUUCGUACUGUAUGAUCAUUUGUGAUUACAAUUACCUCUACUGCCUUCCUUCUGAGGCU
This is a non-coding RNA of Cucumis melo (muskmelon), 81 nucleotides long. Lineage: Eukaryota; Viridiplantae; Streptophyta; Magnoliopsida; Cucurbitales; Cucurbitaceae. The record is from Rfam.